RNAcentral lists this long non-coding RNA (13196 nucleotides) under Nicotiana benthamiana. RNAcentral's name for it is "long non-coding RNA (NBEN_LNC028781)". The record is from RNAcentral. Lineage: Eukaryota; Viridiplantae; Streptophyta; Magnoliopsida; Solanales; Solanaceae.
ACGUGAUCUCACACACAAAAGCACACACCUGCACAUAUAUAAUCCAUAUGACCACACACACAGAGGGCGGAAAAAAAGGGACGAACCUAGAAGCUUGGAAAAGAAAGCCGUCGCUUCCUUCCUCGUAUACAUGUUCCUCUGGCUUUCCUCCAUUAACGUGGUAGCAGCUCCACCACUAGCCUUAGGACACCGUCUUUUAGUUAGCAAUAAAAUCACCGAACUCCAUAACCCAAAGCUAAGCUCCUUUGGUUCAGCAGCCAAAAAAUACCAUAGUCAAAAUAACCCCUGCUUGCCAUUCAAAUCAUUUGAAUUGUGAGUCAGUUGUUAUUAAAUAUGUCAAUUCUUCUUUUAGAACACCAGAUCUCGUUUUUGCCGAGUUGUAUCUAAGUUGGGAAUGUAGAAGACAUUUGAAUUUGCUGCACGCGAUUCCGUCUGUGGUCUCUGAUCCCGGUCGCGUCCCUAUUUUAGCCCAAGGUUUAAGAGAACGUUGAUUUAUUGAGGUCCAACUCUUACUUUAUUUCUCUGAUCUCUUUUGGCUUGCUAGCUGAUCUUAUAAAUGGCUUGAAUUUGAAAUUGAAUGUGUUAUAUUUUGUUGGUUGUCCAAAGUACUUUGGUGCCAUGAAUCUGAUAUUUUAGUAGUUCGGAUUAAUCCUCUCGGUGAUCUAUUAUUGUUGAUAAAAUCUAUAUUAAAAAAUGGUAAGAGUGAAAAAAAUAAGAUGAGCGUGUCGUGAGAUUUGGGGCAAACAAAAUUAAAUAUGUUCUGGCCUUAAAAUAGUUGUUAUUUUAACUUUAUUUGUUUUAAAGUCGCUAAGAGCAAGCUUAGGCCGGAAACAUUUGGAUAGGCAAACAUUAGGCUUUCUUUAUUUCACUUUUAAUUGAGGCGAGAGGUCGUUUAUUUUAGUUUAUUAUCUUGGGAAUGUCCUACGAAGUUUGUAUAUAUUUUUAUCUGGGGCAUUGCCCCGAAAUAUUUGUAUUUUGAGGCGGAAAGUAUAACUCGUUGUAUUUUUUUUUUCAUGUUUUCUUUUAUUAGGUGGUGACGACCUCGAGUCUCUUGUGUGUUUUUUCUUUUCUGUGUUAAUUUUUACCUCAAUUUGAAUAUCUUAAAAGCUAAAUAGAUCGAGUAUGCAACCGUACUACUUAUGGGACUCGGGGAAUGUCAAACACUUUCUCCCCGAGUCAAAUGAACCCCUUUACCCGAAUCUUUGGUGACGACUUAGUUUUUGAGUCUAAAGUGUUUUAAGAGGAAAAAUCAUUUUUAGAAAAACGGUGACCUAACACAUCGAAAUCAAAUUUCAGGCGGAGACUCUGAGUUAAUCCUUUUAAAUACAAUUCUUUGUCAUGUUCUAAUUGAAAACCUUUUCAUGCUUCACAAAAUCUUUUUAUUAUUUUUAAGAGGGUUAAGUGAAAGUUGGUAAAAAAGGGGUGUGACAAGAAGACAUGUCUGUUUCGCUUUUAAAGAAGAAAAUAAAUUCUUAAAGGAAUUAAACAAAUAAUUGCACAUGGGGAAUGGGGGGGNNNNNNNNNNNNNNNNNNNNNNNNNNNNNNNNNNNNNNNNNNNNNNNNNNNNNNNNNNNNNNNNNNNNNNNNNNNNNNNNNNNNNNNNNNNNNNNNNNNNNNNNNNNNNNNNNNNNNNNNNNNNNNNNNNNNNNNNNNNNNNNNNNNNNNNNNNNNNNNNNNNNNNNNNNNNNNNNNNNNNNNNNNNNNNNNNNNNNNNNNNNNNNNNNNNNNNNNNNNNNNNNNNNNNNNNNNNNNNNNNNNNNNNNNNNNNNNNNNNNNNNNNNNNNNNNNNNNNNNNNNNNNNNNNNNNNNNNNNNNNNNNNNNNNNNNNNNNNNNNNNNNNNNNNNNNNNNNNNNNNNNNNNNNNNNNNNNNNNNNNNGGGGGGGGGGGGGGGACAAAUUCACAAGAAUAAUCUAAAAUGGUAAAAGCCUGAAUAUCCCUAGUAGAGUCGUCAUGCUGUCGCACCCCCUUUUUCCUUUCCAUCGGAGAGGAGUCCGGGUUUUGACAUUCAUCGGGGUGUAAUGACUCAUUUGUUUUUGGGAAUUGAGUAUUUGAAGAGUCGCCAUCUAACGAUUUUUUAAGGUGCGUUAGGGAACAUAUAUAGUUCAACUACAAUGAUGUUUGAUAAUCAGAGAUAUGUUAAGGGCUUGAAAUUAUUCUAAGGGAGGUGUUAGACACCACUCAGGAUCCCUUAUUGCGGUUCCCGGCCAAAGUUUUUUUUGGUGAAUUUGUGCAAUUAGCAAAUAAAUAAGUAAUGCUCAAAUAACAGGGGAGGGGGAGGGGGUUAAGUUUAACUAUAGAAAUAUUUUUAAUCAAUUACCGAAAGGAAGGUUUUGAAAAGAGUUGCAAUCUAAGCGUACUUAUAAAAGAAAAUAAAAUGGUGUCCUAGGUUUAUUAGUAAUAUGGAUCACAUCAAUGCAAUACUCGGUAUGACACUUCUCAGAAGAAGGGAUACACGUGGUAUUAGCGUAUCGAUCAUCAUAUCUACAUCUACCCUUUCCCGCCUAAUAAAGGUAAUUAGAGCGAUAAUUGGUCUAGAUUCUUAUUGUAUGUUACUAUCCAUCCUUUCCAAUCAGUCCCGGAGGAAUUUUAGGACUCCUAUUAUGAUAAGAAGGAAGUUCUAGAUAGACCCUCAUGUUAAAAAGUAAAACUGCUAAAGUUACAUACAAAACAUAUAAGACUAAUUAUGGGGGAAACAUAUAAGCAUAUACAAGGCUUAAGUAUUCCCGCAAAUAGUGCACUUAGGAAGAAUGAAUUAUGCACAGUUAAGGUUUGAAUUUUAAACACCUAAAUCAGGGUGUUCAAGCCAGAACUAGAUUCAUUAUAUAACUUAGAAAAGAAGUAUGAAUCAGGCAUGUUUGCUAGUUGUAACAGUCUAGAAUUAAACAGAGGUAAUUCCUAUUUUAUUUAAGUAAUUACCUAAGGCUUGCCUAGGCAUGAGUAAUAUUUAGUAAUUAUUCAGGAUCGAUGAGGCGAUUUAGAUCUUAUUAUUACCUAAAACAUGUUGUUCUAGUUAUAGAGAUUAUUACUAGUUAUUCAGAAACUUUGCAAUGUAAUCUAGUACGUUAUUACCUUUUCGUGAUUCAGUAAUUAACUAGGCAUUUUUAAACAAGAUGCAAAUAGGAUACUAGAAUAUGUAUUCUAAUAUGCACACGCAGAUGACCGAGUUCGUCAAGCGUGGCUGCUAAAUUAAAGAGUUGUAGAAUUGUUAAGGAACAACUUCAUGAGUAAGAAUUUUAUUUAUUAGACCUAAUGUAGGAUUUUUAAGUGAUGGACAUGAAGCAUAGAUUAAUAAAUGAGAUGUUGAACCAUGAAACAUGAACCCUAAGAACAUGAUUUCUAAUGCAUUGUGUGAAUCCUAAACAUCAUUUCUAUUGCACAACUUGGAAUAUAAAUCUAAUAAUAUAUUUUUACACUUUAGCUAUAGCAUGCAUAUCUCCUAUCACUUUUCACUAGCCAACCACGUAAUUAUUUACAAAUUAUUGCAAACAAUGUGAUGGAAUUACAUAAGCAGAAAGAAAAAUAAGAAGUUACAACCUUAGGAAUCCUAAUCUUGAUUUACUCUCUGAGUUAUGUAAUAAACCAAUUUAAAUACUAAUUUUGUUCCAAGCCUUUCUCAUACCUGGGUAUAUAGGAGUUCCCUAAGAACCUCAAAGGAUCCCGGGCAGUGCUCACACCUAGAUUGUAUAACCAAGAGUAAGUGUAGUGUGGAAGGGUCAACCCUUAUGUGUGCAGGUUCAGAGGGAGCUCAAGGUUCCCUAAAGCAAGGCUCACACAAGAGGGGGAGAAUCUAAUGAUCUAAGAGUGCAUGUGAGAGUGCUGGAUAAAGACUAGUAGGAGUUGAGUCGGGAAAUACUUUUAGAAACAACAUAUUUGAAGUGAGUUUGUAAAACAACAGAAGAAUUGCCUAACAAACAAUUUUUGAAAUGGAAAGGGGGUAGGAGCACACACACAUAACUAGUUCAUAAAGAAUUACAUGCUUCAGCAGUUACAAACAGGGGAAUAGAGGGGUUGGGGACAUAGAAGACCCAUAUUAGAAAGACACAAUUACUAAUGAAUCACGUACAUUAUAGACAUGCUACAUGAAGGGCAUAAACAUGAUUAAGUAGAUAUGCUGAUCAUAUUUGAACAAAGAGGGACAUAAUUUUAAGCAUGUAGAGUAAAGUAAUAAACAAACAGUAAAACUCAACAGCACGAGCCGUUAAGCUAGAAAAAGACAGUGAUUGACAACAAGGGAACACAUAGGUUUGAGUUUCAGAAUUUAAAGUAGGAACAUACCACUUGAAGGAACAAAGUGCAGAAAAAGUAAAGCAAUUAGAGUUCCAAAGCCUAGCCUAGGCUUUCAACUGACUAGACAAGGCAGUAGUAGUAGAGAAAGAAAGAGAGUUUGAAUAUGUAAGGGUGUGUUAUUGAACUUAGUUGUUCGUGUCUUGUUAAUGAAAGCGUUGAGGUAUUUAUAGCUUUUAAAACGAGUAGAAAAAAAUAAGGUAACAAGUAAAGGUUUACCAUAAAUAUGGAAGUAAUCACAGUCAGAAUAAAUUAAUACAAAUAUUCCCUUUAAUCAAGGAAUUACUGCUCAAACGGAUACUAAAGGGAUAAUUAAGGAAAGAAAAUCAAUUUGAGAAAGAUUGAUUUCUGAUCAUAUAUGGGAUAGUAAAAGUAUAGAGUAAAUAAUUAAGUCUUAGUGCAAAAUAUAUAUAUACCUCCGCAAACAGUUCAUUAUAGCUUUUAAAACGAGUAGAAAAAAAUAAGGUAACAAGUAAAGGUUUACCAUAAAUAUGGAAGUAAUCACAGUCAGAAUAAAUUAAUACAAAUAUUCCCUUUAAUCAAGGAAUUACUGCUCAAACGGAUACUAAAGGGAUAAUUAAGGAAAGAAAAUCAAUUUGAGAAAGAUUGAUUUCUGAUCAUAUAUGGGAUAGUAAAAGUAUAAAGUAAAUAAUUGAGUCUAAGCACAAAACUAUACCUAAUUUUGGGAAGGGAUUCAACAAGGGUAAAACACCACAACAUAGGAAGGGAAUCAGUCAGUUUAAACAAAACGAGUGAAACUAGGGGUUUAUAAGAAAAUAUUUGCAAUCAGUCGUAACUUGAGAAAUCAAUAACCAAGAAAGAAUCAUGAUUCUGCACUUCGCCAUAUAAAUAGGGAAGAAUGAACUUUUAAAGCCAACCGUAUUGACAAAAGAAACAACUAGAUGCACAAGAACAUACAACAAUAACUGGAGUAGGCUAGGGCUCAGUAGUAAAAGAAUGUACUCGAAGCAUAGUAGUCAACGAAGUUAAGAUAUCAUAUAGAACCAUUAAUUAAAAACAGUCUACAUAGUGACAGGUAGAGGAGAUCAGACCAACACAUCGAAAUAAGUGGAAGAAGUCUUUGAAAACUCAAAAUAACAAGUAAUAAAAGUUUUACGAAAUUAUGGUUUUAACAAUAAUCGAGUUAAAAAUGAUAAGAACUAUGAAUCAGUGAACAAAGAAGAGGAUCUAAACACAAAGAACUUAAUUGAAACAAGUGUUCACACAAAAUACACAAAGACAGUUUCAGAACCCAGAUAAAGGCAAAAAUACCUAGGGUCGUAACAUGAUGAACCAGGUAGAAGAAAAACAUAACCAAAUCCUUUAAACAUAUUAAAAUCAUAAAACAACACUAAAAAUCGGAGAAGAUAUCUUUUUUUUUAAAAAGGUUGAGAAACCCUAAUCGUUGAAUACGAAGAGUCGUUUAAAAACACGAAAAAACCUUCAGGGAAAACAUUUGAGAGGUUCAUAACAUAUGCAGAUCCAAGACAGAUCUGAAAGAAAAUCGGAAAGCCUUUGAAGUUAGGGUUUUGAAGGACCCAGAAAUAUGAGAAAGGCUUCGAAAAGUUAUUGAUCUAGGAUCUGACUCGAAAAACCAUGGAUGGAAGGAAAGAGGCCAUGUGUAGAAGUUGAGCAAAAACUGGAUGAGAUCUCUUUGAGAUCUGCCCAUGAAGUAACACAAGCGGGCCACCACUGGACGUAGGAGACCGGUGGGAGUCCAUGGAUGGGGUGGGGUUGAAGGGAAUUAAGGUGAAUUCGGGCGGCGGCGGCAGCAGCUAGGGUUUGAGUGCAAUUGCUGAGAGAAUUGGAGAGGAAGGGGAUUCAAGGACCGCGAGUCGGUGAGAAUGAUUUAGGUUCGGGUGGUCAUUUGGAUUAAAAAAUGUAAGGGUGAAUGAUGUCUGUUGAUCUUUGUGAUUAAUGGCUAGGAUGAGAACGGUUCUGGGUCAGGUAAGUUUUAACUAGGUCAGGGGUGGGUUAUAAUUAGAAAUUGGGGCAUGAUUUGGUUAUAAUUGAAAGCCUAAUGUGGCUACGAGUUAAAUAGCCAUUUCCCCUUUUAAUUUAUAAAAAACAACAAAUAGUUUUCUGAAAAUAAAGUCAAAGUACUAAUAUAAUUUAUAAUACAUAAUUAACAAUAUAAAAAUACAAGACUCAAUUUUAUGAAUAAAAAACACAAUUAAACCUAAAAAUGGCUAAUACUGCAAUUAAAAUUCAAUUUAGCUUUAAAAUACUAAAUGAAAUUGUAAAUAUAUGUGAAAAAAUACCUUAGCCAUAUUUUGGCAUAACAAUAAAAAUCCAAUAGAUGAUUUAUCAAAAUAAUAAUAUUGGAAAUAAUUAUUGGGAUUUUAUGGAUUAAAAAGGGGAAAAAAUAAAUUAAUUUUGUCCUAUAAAUGUAUGGAAAAAUAAUAAGACACUUGGACAUGCUAUUUUGAUGUUUGUUUUGCAUAUUGAAAAUAUAUAGGGAAAAAUUGGGUAUCAAUAGAGGGUGCAUAGGUUUAUUAUAGGGUUGUAUUCCGGCAUCAGGGCCAACAUGGCCCGAAAGGUGGAUGAGGACUCCUUAUCAGUUGGUAGUGGAUAUUGCUCAGAGGAUUGAGGGCUACCGUCUUAGAGGUAGGGAGCAGAAGCAGCAGGAUAAGAGGGCUAGCUUCUUCGGAGAGUUCAAAGGUGCCCCCGGCUAGGGGUAGAGGUCACUUUGGGAGGGGACAACCUAGCAGGCCCCCAUAUUAAACACCACCACCUGCUCGGGGUGAUUCAGUGUUCCCCUAUUUCAACGGUAUAGCAGAGAGUUCUUGUCGCCCACCAGCCAUUCAAGGUUCUUUCAGGGGUAUUCGGGUCCUCAGGGUUCUUCUAAUUUUUAAUUUAGUGCUAUGCCGGAGAGUUUAUACCAUCCACUGGCUAUUGAGGCUUCACCUAGUGGGUCUAUAGUCCAUCAAGGUCAGCCAUUAGGGUAGUAGGUCGCCGCACCGCCAGAAUGUUUCGAGUGCGGUGACCUUGGUCAUAUGAGGAGAUACUGCCCCAGGAUUCGGGGCAAGGCAGUUCAAAGGUUUAGCAGCCUAUGGUUUCAGCACCAGCAGCUCAGCCACCUAAAGGUGGAUGGCAGAUUGGUUAGGGCCGUCAUAGAGGUGGAGGCCAGGCAGGGAGAGGUCAACGAACUACUUCUCAGUCAGGUGGAGGCCAUCCAACCGAUGCUCCAACUAGAUUCUAUACCCUUCUGGCUAGGCCAGAUACAUUGGCCUCAGAUGCUGUCAUCAUAUGUGUUAUAUACGUCUGAGGAAGAUAUGCUUCGUCAUUAUUUGAUGGGUCUACCUAUUUAUAUGUGUCAUCUAUGUUUGCUUGUUUUCUGGUUAUUUCUCUUGAGCCCUUUGGCACUUCUGCUCAUGUGUCCGAUCUUGUGAGUAAUUCUGUGGUUGUGGAUUGGGUCUACCAGUCCUGUAUGGUCAUAUUCUGUGGUUUUGAGACUAGAGCAGAUCUCCUAUUGCUUGAUAUGAUCGAUUUUGAGAUCAUCCUGGGCGUGGAUUGGUUAUCUCCAUAUCACACCGUCCUAGAUUGCAUGCCAAUAAUGUUACUUUAGCGAUGCUACGGUUGCUAGGGUUGGAGUGGAAAGGUUACACAGUUGAUACAUCUAGCCGCAUUAUCUCUUUCCUGAAAGCUCGACAAAUGGUCGAGAUGGGGUUUUUGGCAUAUUUGGCUUAUGUUCGGGACACCGCCGCAGAGUUUCCGAUGAUUGAUUCAGUUCCAGUAGUUUGGGAGUUCGCCGAUGUGUUUCCUUCUGAUCUUCCUGGCAUGCCACCAAAUAGUGAUAUCAUUUCUGUAUUAAUUUGGCUUCAGGUAUCUUGCCUAUAUCUAUCCCACCGUACUGCAUAGCUCUGAAGGAAUUCAGGAUUUGAAGGAGCAGCUUAAGGAGUUUUUAGCAAAGGGGUUUUUAGUCCUAGUGUAUCUCCUUGGGGUGCGCCAGUGUUAUUUGUGAAGAAUAAGGAUGGAACUAUGCGGAUGUGCAUUGGUUACCGUCAGUUGGACAAAGUCACCAUCAAGAAAAAGUAUCCAUUGCCUUGUAUCGAUUAUCUGUUUGGCCAAUUACUGGGUGCUAGGGUGUUCUCUAAGAUCGACUUGAAGUCAGGGUACCAUCAAUUGAAGAUUUCGGAUUCGGAUGUUCUGAAGACUGCAUUCUAGACUAGAUAAGGCCAUUAUGAGUUUCUAGUGAUGUCAUUUGGCUUGACUAAUGCCCUAGCAGCAUUUAUGGACUUGAUAAACAUGGAGUUCAGGGUUAUAUUGAUUCCUUUGUCAUCGUCUUCAUUGAAGACAACUUGAUAUACUCCCGUAUCCUGGGGAGCACGAACAACAUCUGAGGGUAGUGCUUCAGACCUUGCGAGAAUAGAAGCUAUAUGCUAAGUUGUCCAAGUCUUAGUUUUGGCUAGAGUCGGUGGCAUUCUUGGGGAAUAUUCCAUAAUGAGAUGGUAUUAAGGUAAAUCCCAAGAAGAUUGUGGCAUUUUAGGGUUGACCACAUCCUACAUCAAUGACCGAGAUCGGGUGUUUCUUGGGGUUAGCAGGUUAUUACAGACGGUUCAUGCAGGGCUUCUCAUAUAUUGCAUCCCCGCUAACUAGAUUGACCUAGAAGGGUGCUCCUUUCCAUUGGUCCGAUGAUUGUGAGGUGAGUUUUCAGAAGCUCAAAACAGCUUUGACUACAACACCAGUUCUUGUGUUGCCUUCCAGUUCAGGGAUGUAUACAAUAUAUUGCAAUGCUUUUCGUGUUGGAUUGGGAUGUGUAUUGAUGCAGGAGGGGUGAGUUAUUGCAUAUGAUUCGCGUUAGCUAAAGAUCCAUGAGAAAAAUUAUCCGGUGCACGAUUUUGAGUUGGCCGCGAUUGUUCAUGCUCUUAAAUCUGGAGGCAUUAUCUGUACGGGGUACCAAGUGAGGUUUAUACUGAUCAUCGCAGCUUGCAGCACUUGCUCAAGCAGAUGGAUCUUAAUUUGAGGCAGUAUAGAUGGCUUGAGUUACUGAAGGAUUAUGACAUCGCCAUUCUUUAUCACCCGGGCAAGGAAAAUGUUGUCGUCGAUGCCUUAAGCAGGAAAGUAUCGAGUAUAGGUAGCCUGGCAUUCAUUCCAGCAGAGGAUAGGCAACUAGCUUUGGACAUUCAGUCCUUGGCUAAUAGAUUUGUGAAUUUGGAUAUUUUAGAGCCCAGCUAAGUUCUUGCCUGUGUGGUUGCUCAAUCUUCAUUAUUGGGGCAGAUCAAGGCCCGACAAUUUGAUGAUCCACAUUUGGCGGUUCUUAAAAAGAUUGUGCUAUAGGGUAGUGCCAAGGAGGCUUCUAUCGGCGAGGAUGGUGUUUUUCGACUCCAGAGUCGCCUAUGUGUUCCUAAUAUCGAUGGUCCUAGAGAGAGGAUUCUAGAUGAGGCACAUAGUUCACGCUAUUCUAUUCAUCUAGGUGCUACAAAGAUGUAUCGUGACCUGAGGCAACAUUAUUGGUGGAGUAGGAUGAAGAAAGACAUAGUGGAGUAUGUGGUUGGGUUUUUGAAUUGUUAGCAAGUCAAGUACAAGCGCCGGAGGUUGGGUGGGCUACCUCAGCAGAUACCUAUACCAUAGUGGAAGGGGAGCGCAUUACUAUGGACUUCGUAGUUGGGUUGCCCCGGACCUUGUGGAAGUUUGAUGCAGUAUGGGUCAUGGUGGACAGAUUGACCAAUUUGGCGCACUUUAUUUCGGUUGUGACUGCUUACACAUCAGAGAGAUUGGCCCAGAUUUACAUUCGGGAGUCCAGUUGCACGGUGUUCCUGUUUCCAUCAUAUCAAACCAACGCCCUCAGUUCACUUCCAUUUUUGGAGAGCUGUUCAAAGUGAAUUGUGGACUUGUGUAGAGCUUAUCAUAGAAUUCCACCCUCAGAACAACGGGCAGUCAGAGCGGACAAUUCAGAUCUUGGAGGACAUGCUCAGAUCAUGUAUGAUUGACUUUAGAGAACAGUGGGUCCCUUGGCAGAGUUUGCGUACAACAAUAGCUAUCAGUUCAGAGAUGGCUCCAUUCAAGGCUUUAUAUGGUCGACAAUGUCAUUCUCAUAUCUAAUGGUUUGAGCCUGGCAAGGCUAAGUUGUACGGUACAGAUUUGGUGUAUAGAUCCCUAGGACAAGGUAAAGUUGAUUGAGGAAAGGCUUCGCACAGCUCAGUCUAGAUAGAAGAGCUACGCCGAUCAAAAGGCGCGUGAUGUAUCAUUCAUGGUUUGCGAGAAGGUUCUCUUGAAAGUCUCGCCAAUGAAAGGCAUUAUGAGGUUUGGGAAGAAGGGCAAGUUGAGCCCUAGGUUUAUUGGCCACUUUGAGGUGUUGAGACGAGUUGGGGAGGUUGCUUACGAGCUUGCUCUAUCCCCACGCUUAUUGGGGGCUCAUCCAGUUUUUCAUGUAUCGAUUCUUCGAAAGUAACAUGCCGACUUAACCCAUAUGUUGGACUUCAGUACUAUUCAGCUUGAUGAGCAUUUGGGUUAUGAGGAGGAGCCAGUUGCCAUUAUUGAUAGGCAUGAUCGCUAUUUGAGGUCCAAGAGGAUUUCUGCGGUGAGGGUCUACUGGAUGGGCCAGCCAGUCGAAGAGGCAACCUGGGAGUCCAAAGAGGACAUGCAGAGUAUAUAUCCACAUUUAUUCAGCAGCUCAGCUACUUCUCUAUUUACGUUCGAGGUGAAACGUUUGUUUAAGAGGCAGAGAAUGUAACAACCUGACUGGUCAUUUUGCUUUUAGAACCUUGUUCCCUUAAAUAAAAAAAUUUCGCGCUUGCUUUACCUAAUUUAUGACCUGCAUGGAUGGUUGGUUCAAUAUUUGGAAGAUUUUGGGUUAAAAUAUGCUCAUAUUAUUCUUUAGAUUUUUCUUAAAAUUUUAAGUUUGACUUUGGUCAAUAAUUCAAGAAAACGGACCAGAUUCAUGUUUUGACAGUCCCGGAGGGUCUGUUGGAAAAUAUGGGACCUGGGCGUAGGCCCGGAAUCGGAUUCCAAGGUUCCUAGCCCGAGUAAUAAAUUUUUAUUAGAAAUUGUUAAACUAAGAUUCUAAGGAUUUAAAGAAACUAACUAAUGAUUGAUCACAUUGAAAUCGGGCUCGCAUGUUGGUUACGGAGCCUAAUACACGUCCAAAUAACAUUUAAGAGUUGCCCGCAAAAUUUAGUGUCAAUCCGAGUAGUUUAAGGGCGUUUCGGCUCGUUAGAGGAAAAUAAAGAACUUGAAGUUUAUAAGUUUGAUUCAAUUGGUUUUAGGGUGUGAUUCUUAGAUUUUGCAUUGUUUCGAGUGUUCCGAAGGUUCGAGUAGGUCUUUUUCAUAAUUUCAGACUUGUCACCAUGUUGGGGCGGGGCUCGAGCCGCGAGCACCAAUCGGACGAGGCUCGAGUUAAGAUGGAAUUUUGAGAAGUCCUGAAUCAUGUGCUUCUGUCAUAACUGUACAUGCGGUUGGUCGACCGCAUGUGCGUGACCGCAGAAGCGGUCCACCUAUCGUAGAUGCAACCAAGGUAGGCCAGGCCAAGAACCGCAGGAGCAUCUCCCAAGCAGCGGACGUGGCUCCGCAGAAGCGGUGUAAGACCACAGAAGCGAUCGUAGCCCGCUUGGCCGGUUCUGCAGACGUGCCCGAUUUCUGGCAGUAGCGUGACCGCAGAUGCAGAAAUCGCUGAAGCAGUGAGCUUUAUUUAAUACGGGUUCUAAGUACAUUUUUGCCACUUUUCACUCCUUCAUUGGUGAUUUUGGGAGAUUCUGAGAGAAGACUUCCUCCCACCUAUUCUUACUUUAAUACUUGUGUCUUAGGUACAUUAAACAUAAGAUUAAGGAAAAAUCAUGGGGUUAGAGCAAAACCUAGUUUUUUUUGACAAAUGUUAGAUUUAACCACAAAAUUUGUUAUGAAAUGAAUUGGAAAUCAUAUAUUAUUGAUCCUUAGGUUAUAGAGAGCAAAUUUCUUUAAAAAAAUUUGAAAUCUGGGCAUAUGGGUCUGGGUUCGGAUUUUAGGGAACUUGUGUUGAGGGUUGGGAAAUUGCUUAAAUAGCUAGAAUAUGAUCUUGUGAGCUUAUAUUGACUAGUUCUUACCUCAUUUUACUAGUUUGGGAUCGUUUGGCUUCGAAUUGAGGGUUUGUGCUCGAUCUUGGUAUUGGAAGUGCACUUUGGAGCGAGGUAAGACUCCUUUCUAACCUUGUAAGACGAAAUUGUCCCCAUAGGUGUAAUAAUUGAGUAAUUUGCUACUAAAUGCGAGGCUACGUAUGCACUAGGUGAAGAGAGUCCGUGCGUAGCUACUAUUAUGUUAAUUGUCCGGCUAGUCUAGGACCCAUAUCAUGCUAUAUUUGUGAAUGCCUCUAUUGCUAAUGUGAUCACUUAGGAUAUGCUAGAGACUUGGAAAGGAAUAUAAGUGAAUGUAUACACUUGCUGGACACUGGUAUGAAUUUGUUUGAAAUGACCUGCGCUUUCAUAUGUUUUCUUGAUAUUAAUUGAUAUUUGUGGAUUGGGUCGAUCGCCUAGGUAGAAUAAAUGCAUCUAUGGUUUGCUCCAUUCUACCCUCUGAUAGUGCACAUUUUAUUUUUUGUUGGAUCGGGCCAUCGACCUCGGCAUAAUGUGCGAAUGAUAUCUGUGUGAAAUCUUAUCCAUGACAGGAUUUGCUAAAUGUUUGAAAUAUAAAUGUCUGACUGUAAAACUGUUAGGAACAUGAAUUAUUACCUCUUGCUACAAAAUGUCAAUUAAUUAUGACUCGCUUGCUUAUCAUAACGCUUUAUUAUAUUAUUUGACCCUAGUAAGUAUCAAGUCUACCUCUCGUCUCUACUUAUUCAACAUUAGACGGGAUACUUACUGGGUGCAUAUUGUUUAUGUACUCAUACUACACUUUUGUACUUAAUUGUACAAAAUUUGAGGCAGGUACAUCUGGUUAUCAGUCUGGUGCACGCCCUUGACUUAUAGUUCGAGACUUCCACGGUGAGCUGCUCCCUUCC